This is a long non-coding RNA of Lolium rigidum, 394 nucleotides long. RefSeq lists it as uncharacterized. NCBI's taxonomy places the organism in Eukaryota, Viridiplantae, Streptophyta, Magnoliopsida, Poales, Poaceae. The record is from RefSeq and is a predicted model, not a curated record. The transcript is spliced from 3 exons.
CCACAGAAACAGAGGCGACUUGCUCCGUAUUGCUCGCCGCUUCCCCCCAAUCUCCCCUCCCCCGCCGGCGAUCGCCGGAGCGCCCGCCGUCGCGGGGAGCCUCCCCUCGCCAUGGCCCUGCAGGGGAAGAAGCUCAUAAACAACCCCGACGAUGUGGUGACGGAGUUCAUCGAGGGGCUGGUGGAGACCUACCCGGGCCUGCAGUACCUGGACGGGUUCCCUCAGAUUAAAGUUGUUCUUCGCGCAGAUGUCGUGGGCGGCGCCUAUGACAAGGUCGCUGUCAUCUCAGGUACGGGGAUUAGUGUGAACCAUGCUUUGUGAAUGAGAUGGUUGAUUGCUGCGUUAAUUUAGUGGAAAUAUUCGGAAUUCUGUUGAAUUGCUCUGUGUGUGGAAU